Panthera uncia (snow leopard) is the source of this 944-nucleotide long non-coding RNA. RefSeq lists it as uncharacterized. Lineage: Eukaryota; Metazoa; Chordata; Mammalia; Carnivora; Felidae. The record is from RefSeq and is a predicted model, not a curated record. The transcript is spliced from 3 exons.
UGACCGGACUUGGUGCUCCGCUGGAUGGGGGGUGGGGAGACAGCAGGAGUGCUGAGGCCACGGCUUCCUACGCUGCAGGCUGACCUCACUUCGCACAGGUGUGCACCACGGUUAGCACAUCGGCCACGUCACCUCUGUGCUAGGCGCUUCCAUUAACUCUGAAUCGCUAGAGACCAGGGGAUUGAGACCAACUUGUAUUCUUUUUUUCUUUUUUUUUUUUUUUCUUUUAAUUACAGGGCCCUGAGAGUAUUUUUCUUCUGCCUCCUCGGGUCUCACAUUGUUUCCUAAUGUCCCUGUUAGGGCUUUUAAAGUCUCUUAGGCAGGAAUUUGUAGUGACAGAUGAUGGGGUCUGUUCUCAGGUCCCAGAUUCAGGGAAGGACUGGAAAGUGCUCAAUGAGGAGACAGACCCUUGGGGACCAGCCAGAGAGUCACAGAGGUCCCACCUGAAACGGCGGGUUCAUCCAGAGAGAAGCACUUUGACGGGGUCACGGAGCUCACAACAAAGAUCAGGGAAACAGCCAGAAGCCUGGCUGACGGCACAGCCUCCCAGGAACCUUCCCCAGGAGAGGGGUCUUGGAGACCAGGAGACAGGCGCUGCGCAUGGGACAGCCGGGGCCCAGGGAGCAGCCACGUGUGAGGACAGAGCUGCACUCCUCGGUCAGGAAGGACGGAUGCACCUCGGCCCGGCACAGAGGGCCCUCCACAGGGACAUUUCACAGAGGAAUGACAAAAACGACUCUCUGGGUAAGGAUGCCUGUUCCCUCAGGCCCAGAGCGGAGGUGUUCAUUUGUUCAGAGAGAGAGAGACUGGGAGACCGGAGAAAGGAGACAGAGGCAGACCACUGGGUCGAGGCAAGAAGGAAAUAAACAGGAAGAGCCUGAGAGCAGGUAUGAGACACAGAGACUGGAAGAAAGGGAAGGACAGGCCAGAGGGCUGACGACAGG